Molecule: long non-coding RNA, 597 nt
Organism: Lolium perenne
Lineage: Eukaryota; Viridiplantae; Streptophyta; Magnoliopsida; Poales; Poaceae
Source: RefSeq, a predicted model, not a curated record
ACCGUCUAAGGAAAUUACCACUGGAGGCGACUGAAGGCGCUGCCACCGUAGCACAACCAGGCCACUUUGCUGUCUGUGUAGCUUAGAAAGGGAGAGAGAUAUAAGCCUAUCCAUCAACCACUGUAGCAGUUCUUCCCCACUGUAGAAAUUUUACCUAGGAGGCCAAUCGCCAGGGGAGGAAGAAGAAGGGACGACUAGGAGAGCACCAGCCGUAAGGGGAGAAGCAAGGGGGAUUAGGAAUCCAAGCAGCUGACCAAUCAGAUCUGGACAUUCCCAAGUGAUUAAGAUUAUGAGUCGGUAGAUACGGAAGUGGAGUACCCAGACGUCCAGGAGGAGGAGUUGGAUGUGCAGGCAACCACCGAAGAAGGAGUCAAGUACUAUAUGGACUUCAAUGAGCUUGUUGAUCCAUAGAGUUAGAGGAUGUAAAUUGCAAUAAGAGAGUGGUUGAGAAUACCGUUGUAGUAUAAACUCAGUUUUAUAUUUCCUUGUUCUUUUGGAGUUCUUGUUGUACUUGGUAUCAGAUCCUUUGUAUUAUAUCACAGUUUGGAGCUUGUUUGAAUCUUGUGUAAUAUAAGUUUGUACUAUGGACCGCUGCAA